AGGGGGAUAACACUUGGAAACAGGUGCUAAUACCGCAUAACCAUAGUUACCGCAUGGUAACUAUGUAAAAGGUGGCUAUGCUACCGCUUUUGGAUGGGCCCGCGGUGCAUUAGCUAGUUGGUAGGGUAAUGGCCUACCAAGGCAACGAUGCAUAGCCGACCUGAGAGGGUGAUCGGCCACACUGGGACUGAGACACGGCCCAGACUCCUACGGGAGGCAGCAGUAGGGAAUCUUCCGCAAUGGACGAAAGUCUGACGGAGCAACGCCGCGUGUAUGAAGAAGGUUUUCGGAUCGUAAAGUACUGUUGUUAGAGAAGGACAGGGAUAAGAGUAACUGCUUGUCCCUUGACGGUACCUAACCAGAAAGCCACGGCUAACUACGUGCCAGCAGCCGCGGUAAUACGUAGGUGGCAAGCGUUGUCCGGAUUUAUUGGGCGUAAAGCGCGCGCAGGCGGUCUUUUAAGUCUGAUGUGAAAGCCCCCGGCUUAACCGGGGAGGGUCAUUGGAAACUGAAAGACUGGAGUGCAGAAGAGGAGAGUGGAAUUCCACGUGUAGCGGUGAAAUGCGUAGAUAUGUGGAGGAACACCAGUGGCGAAGGCGACUCUCUGGUCUGUAACUGACGCUGAGGCGCGAAAGCGUG
This 639-nucleotide ribosomal RNA is filed under the name uncultured bacterium. RNAcentral's name for it is "bacterial SSU rRNA". It matches the Rfam family "Bacterial small subunit ribosomal RNA", at positions 137 to 763 of the family's 1533-position model. The record is from RNAcentral.